CUUGUACAGUAUUUAUUAGUGCAGAUGUCUGAUGAAAUACUACGCGUAUUGCAUUGUAGUAAUAUUUUAAUUUACAAUAUUCUGUACUGACAAAUAAAAGCAAGACAAACAAUUAAAUGAAACUACUAAAUUAAUUCGAGAAUUAAUUUAGGUCCUGUUUACUUAAUAGCUCUACGCCUAGGCCGAUGUAGACUACAAGAUUCGCACGCCACCCAGUUUUUCAGUUUCAAAAUACGCCGAAUACUUGAAAAUUGCGACUAUACGAUAAAAUAAAACAAAGAUUGUGAAGGGGAUAAAAUUUGUAGGCAAGCAUUUCUGCGGA
Molecule: non-coding RNA, 322 nt
Organism: Paramuricea clavata
Lineage: Eukaryota; Metazoa; Cnidaria; Anthozoa; Malacalcyonacea; Plexauridae
Source: the annotation of a GenBank genome assembly